AUUGUAAGUAUUUAAAACAUUUAUAACUCUUUUUGAACCAUUUUAAAACUUUUGUGAACCUUUACAAAAGGUUUUAAAAGAAUUUACAAGAGUUUUUAAAGGGUUUUCUUAUAAAUUCUUUUAAAAAAUUUUAAAAACCCUUGUACAUCUAUUAAACCCCUUUUAAACCCUUUAAAAAUCUCUUUUAAAUCUUUUAAAUACCCUUUUAACAUCCCUUGUAAAUCUCUUAAAACACUUUUAAACCCUUUCAAAAUCCUUAAAAACCCUUGUAAGUCUUUUAAACCCUUUUAAAAUCCUUUGUAAAUCUUUUAAAAUCUCUUUUAAAAAAUCUUGUAAAUCUUUUAAAACCCUUUUAAAAUCCCUUGUAAAUCUAUUUCCUGCCAAAAAAGUUUUUUUUACGGGAAAAAUGGUUUUGAAAAAAACUUUUGGCGGGAAAUUUGUUUUUCGAAAAGAUUUGGCGAGAAUUUUUUUUCGAAAUUUUUUGGCGGGAACAUUUUGGCGGGAAAUUUAUUUUGGAAUAUUUAAGGCGAAAAAAUAUUAAUAUUUCAUUUUGUUAGCCUAAAUAAAUU
This 569-nucleotide small RNA is filed under the name Arabidopsis thaliana (thale cress). RNAcentral's name for it is "ATSL265500". The record is from RNAcentral. Lineage: Eukaryota; Viridiplantae; Streptophyta; Magnoliopsida; Brassicales; Brassicaceae.